This 200-nucleotide ribosomal RNA is filed under the name uncultured eukaryote. RNAcentral's name for it is "partial 18S ribosomal RNA". It matches the Rfam family "Eukaryotic small subunit ribosomal RNA", at positions 588 to 795 of the family's 1831-position model. The record is from RNAcentral.
GCUCCAAUAGCGUAUAUUAAAGUUGUUGCAGUUAAAAAGCUCGUAGUUGAACCUCGGAUUCGGUUGGGCGGUCUCCUAAUGGGUAGUACUUCUCUGGCCGAAUCUUUCCUUCUGGCGAACCAUUGUGCUAUUUGUUUAGUGCGGUGGAGAACCAGGACUUUUACUUUGAAAAAUUAGAGUGUUUAAAGCAGGCUUACGCU